GAAGUCUUCUAGUCCAUAUACUAAAAUUGGAGUGAUACAGAGAAGAUUAGCAUGGCCCCUGCAUAAGGAUGACAUGCAUCCUCUCUGUUAAUGCAGCCUAGGAUUUUUUU
This is a small nuclear RNA of Crotalus tigris (Tiger rattlesnake), 110 nucleotides long. The record is from RefSeq and is a predicted model, not a curated record. Lineage: Eukaryota; Metazoa; Chordata; Lepidosauria; Squamata; Viperidae.